This 468-nucleotide ribosomal RNA is filed under the name uncultured bacterium. RNAcentral's name for it is "partial 16S ribosomal RNA". It matches the Rfam family "Bacterial small subunit ribosomal RNA", at positions 28 to 507 of the family's 1533-position model. The record is from RNAcentral.
GACGAACGCUGGCGGCGUGCUUAACACAUGCAAGUCGAACGGAAAGGCCCUGCUUUUGUGGGGUGCUCGAGUGGCGAACGGGGGAGUAACACGUGAGUAACCUGCCCUUGACUUUGGGAUAACUUCAGGAAGCUGGGGCUAAUACCGGAUAGGAGCUCCUGCUGCAUGGUGGGGGAUGGAAAGUUUCGGCGGUGGGGGCUGGAUUCGCGGCUUAUGAGCUUGUUGGUGGGGUAGUGGCUUACCAAGGCUUUGACGGGUAGCCGGCCUGAGAGGGUGACCGGCCACCUUGGGACUGAGAUACGGCCCAGACUCCUACGGGAGGCAGCAGUGGGGAAUAUUGCACAAUGGGCGGAAGCCUGAUGCAGCAACGCCGCGUGCGGGAUGACGUCCUUCGGGUUGUAAACCGCUUUCGCCUGUGACGAAGCGUGAGUGACGGUAAUGGGUAAAGAAGCACCGGCUAACUACGUG